This 318-nucleotide ribosomal RNA is filed under the name Triticum aestivum (bread wheat). RNAcentral's name for it is "partial small subunit ribosomal RNA". The record is from RNAcentral. Lineage: Eukaryota; Viridiplantae; Streptophyta; Magnoliopsida; Poales; Poaceae.
AUGGAUGGAUCCGUCGAUCUCAACUCGUGCUACCACGCAGUACGCACGGUUGGGGAGAAUGGGGACGAACGCCGCCACGUUCGCUCAGUUGGUUCGGCGCGCGUCCAAACAAAAAGCACGAACGCCUGCUUCUUCUCCUACGAUACGAAGCUGCAUGUAUGCGGCAGGGUAACAUGCAUGGGCAGACAGGGGAACGUGUCAGUGUCAACGUGCAUGCAUACGGGAUGCAUCCAAAUCCACCACGCCGCGUGGGUGCGACACGAUCGAUCGACCAAACGCGUACGUAGGGGCGCGAAAGGCAAAAGGCAUUCGGACUAG